AGCAGCCGCCGCGGUAAAACGUAGGGUGCAAGCGUUAAUCGGAAUUACUGGGCGUAAAGCGUGCGCAGGCGGUUAUAUAAGACAGAUGUGAAAUCCCCGGGCUCAACCUGGGAACUGCAUUUGUGACUGUAUAGCUAGAGUACGGCAGAGGGGGAUGGAAUUCCGCGUGUAGCAGUGAAAUGCGUAGAUAUGCGGAGGAACACCGAUGGCGAAGGCAAUCCCCUGGGCCUGUACUGACGCUCAUGCACGAAAGCGUGGGGAGCAAACAGGAUUAGAUACCCCAGUAGUCCCUGUCUCUUAUAC
Molecule: ribosomal RNA, 303 nt
Filed under: uncultured bacterium
Lineage: Bacteria
Description: partial 16S ribosomal RNA
Rfam family: Bacterial small subunit ribosomal RNA
Source: RNAcentral